This 115-nucleotide ribosomal RNA is filed under the name Alkalicoccus luteus. Its description in RNAcentral is "Bacillus luteus partial 23S ribosomal RNA". It matches the Rfam family "Bacterial large subunit ribosomal RNA", at positions 1 to 114 of the family's 2925-position model. Lineage: Bacteria; Bacillati; Bacillota; Bacilli; Caryophanales; Bacillaceae. The record is from RNAcentral.
UGGUUAAGCGACCAAGGGCGCACGGUGAAUGCCUUGGCACUAGGAGCCGAUGAAGGACGGGACGAACACCGAUAUGCUUCGGGGAGCUGUAAGUGAGCUGUGAUCCGAAGAUUUC